UACGGGGGGGGCAAGCGUUGUUCGGAAUUACUGGGCGUAAAGGGUGCGUAGGCGGCGUAAUAAGUCCGUGGUGAAAGCCAACAGCUCAACUGUUGAACUGCCAUGGAUACUGUUAUGCUUGAGUACAGACGAGGUAGGCGGAAUGGAUCGUGUAGCGGUGAAAUGCAUAGAUACGAUCCAGAACUCCGAUCGCGAAGGCAGCUUACUAGGCUGUAACUGACGCUGAGGCACGAAAGCGUGGGGAGCGAACAGG
RNAcentral lists this ribosomal RNA (253 nucleotides) under uncultured bacterium. Its description in RNAcentral is "partial 16S ribosomal RNA". It matches the Rfam family "Bacterial small subunit ribosomal RNA", at positions 524 to 776 of the family's 1533-position model. The record is from RNAcentral.